GUGGGGAAUCUUGCACAAUGGGGGAAACCCUGAUGCAGCGACGCCGCGUGAGCGAUGAAGCCCUUCGGGGUGUAAAGCUCUUUCGGCAGGAACGAUAAUGACGGUACCUGCAGAAGAAGCUGCGGCUAACUACGUGCCAGCAGCCGCGGUAAUACGUAGGCAGCAAGCGUUGUUCGGAAUUACUGGGCGUAAAGAGUGUGUAGGUGGUGUCGUAAGUUUGGUGUGAAAUCUCCCGGCUUAACUGGGAGGGUGCGCCGAAGACUGCGAUGCUGGAGUAUGGGAGAGGAAAGCGGAAUUCCUGGUGUAGCGGUGAAAUGCGUAGAUAUCAGGAGGAACACCUGCGGUGUAGACGGCUUUCUGGACCAUUACUGACACUGAGACACGAAAGCGUGGGUAGCAAACAGGAUUAGAAACCCUGGUAGUCC
Molecule: ribosomal RNA, 425 nt
Filed under: uncultured bacterium
Lineage: Bacteria
Description: bacterial SSU rRNA
Rfam family: Bacterial small subunit ribosomal RNA
Source: RNAcentral